AUUGAACGCUGGCGGAAUGCUUUACACAUGCAAGUCGAAUGGCAGCACGGACUUCGGUCUGGUGGCGAGUGGGGGACGGGUGAGUAAUGUAACGGAACGUGCACAGUCGCGGGGGGUAACGUAGUGAUAAUUACGCUAAUACCGCAUACGAUAUAUGGAUGAACGCGGGGGAUCGUAAGACCUCACGCGAUUGGAGCGUCCGAUAACAGAUUAGGUAGUUGGUUGGGUAAAGGCCCACCAAGCCAACGAUCUGUAGCUGGGCUGAGAGGACGACCAGCCACACUUGAACUGAGACACGGUCCAGACUCCUACGGGAGGCAGCAGUGGGGAAUUUUGGACACUGGGCGAAAGCCUGAUCCAGCCAUUCCGCGUACAGGAUGAAGGCCCUCGGGUUGUAGACUGCUUUUGUACAGAACGAAAAGGUUUCUACUAAUACUAGGAGCUCAUGACGGUACUGUAAGAAUAAGCACCGGCUAACUACGUGCCAGCAGCCGCAGUAA
Molecule: ribosomal RNA, 500 nt
Filed under: uncultured bacterium
Lineage: Bacteria
Description: partial 16S ribosomal RNA
Rfam family: Bacterial small subunit ribosomal RNA
Source: RNAcentral